RNAcentral lists this ribosomal RNA (443 nucleotides) under uncultured bacterium. RNAcentral's name for it is "partial 16S ribosomal RNA". It matches the Rfam family "Bacterial small subunit ribosomal RNA", at positions 28 to 507 of the family's 1533-position model. The record is from RNAcentral.
GAUGAACGCUGGCGGCAUGCCUAACACAUGCCAGUCGAUCGGUAAGGCUCUUCGGAGUACACGAGAGGCGGACGGCUGAGUAACGCGUAGGAACACACCCUGCAGUGAGGGAUAAGACACCGAAAGGUGUUCUAAUACCGCAUACGGUCUUCGGAUUAAAGCAUUUAUGCGCUGAAGGAGUGGCCUGCGUCAUAUUAGAUAGUUGGUGAGGUAAUGGCUCACCAAGUCGAUGAUGUGUAGCUGGUCUGAGAGGAUGAUCAGCCAGACUGGAACUGAGACACGGUCCAGACUCCUACGGGAGGCAGCAGUGAGGAAUAUUUCACAAUGAGCGAAAGCUUGAUGGAGCAAUGCCGCGUGCAGGAUGAAGGCCCUCGGGUUGUAAACUGCUUUUAUAAGAGAAGAUUAUGACGGUAACUUAUGAAUAAGGGACGGCUAACUACGUG